Molecule: ribosomal RNA, 1227 nt
Filed under: Pterohelaeus sp. NLG-2012
Lineage: Eukaryota; Metazoa; Arthropoda; Insecta; Coleoptera; Tenebrionidae
Description: partial 16S ribosomal RNA
Source: RNAcentral
UUCUUUAAAAUUAAAGAAUUUGGCGGUAUUUUAGUCUGUUCAGAGGAACCUGUUUCUUAAUCGAUAGUCCACGAUGAUUUUUACCUUAGUUUUAAAUUUGCAUAUCGUCGUUAUUAAAAAUUUUAGGAAUUAAUUUUUUCAGAUCAAGGUGUAGUUUAUAUUGAGGAUUUAAUGGGUUACAUUAAAAAGCUUAAAUAAAUUGGAUUUGAUAGUAAGCUCUAAAAUAUGUACAUAUCGCCCGUCGCUUUCACUUUAAAGUGAAAUAAGUCGUAACAAAGUAGGCUUAUUGGAAAGUGAGCCUGGAAUGCAAAUUAGAGCUUGAUAAGCGUUUUAUUUACAUUAAAAGGUUAGUUGUUAAAUUCAACUUGAUUUGAAUUUAUAAUUUUAUUUAGUGUUUUUGUUUUUUGAGAUUGAGAGAAUAAUGUGAAAUUUUAUUAUUUUUAUGAAAAAAUGUUAUGAUAGUUUAUAGUAUUGUGAAAGAAAUAUUUUAUUUGUUUAAAAGAAGGUUUAAUUUGUUGUACCUUGUGUCUCAGGGUUUAUUAAUUUAUAAUUCCCGAUUCUAGAAGAGCUAGUUUUACUGUGAAAAUAUUAUUUAUAACUUUUUCCUUGAAAUGAAAUGUUAAUCGUUUCUAGAUAUAUCUGGUUUUCUAAGAAAUUAAUUUAAUUAAUUUGAUAAUAGGAAGUUUAUUGGGGGAUAAGCUCUUGGGUCUAUUAUUAUAAAUAAAUUUUACUUUAAAAUUUAUAGGAUUAGAAUUUUUCAUUUCUUAGAGGAUGUUAUAAUUAAUUAAGUUUUUUAUUGGAAUUUUUGGUUUAGUUUUUUUUCUGAAGUGAUAAUGAUAAAAUUAGUAAGGUUAAUCUAAGGAACUCGGCAAUUUUAAUUUUCACCUGUUUAUUAAAAACAUGUCCUUUUGAUGAUGAUUUAAGGUCUGGCCUGCCCAAUGAUUUAAUGGCCGCAGUAUUUUGACUGUGCAAAGGUAGCAUAAUCAUUAGUUUCUUAAUUAGAAGCUGGAAUGAAUGGUUUGAUGAGAAAUUAACUGUCUCUGGAACUUUAUUUUUAAGUGAAAAAGCUUAAAUUUUAUAUAAAGACGAGAAGACCCUAUAGAGUUUUUUUGUUGGGGUGAUGAAAAAAUUUAGUUAACUUUUUGUUUUAGUGAAUUGUUGAUCCUAGAUUACAAGAUAAAAUUACCUUAGGGAUAACAGCGUAAUUUUUUUGGAAAGUUCUUAUUG